RNAcentral lists this long non-coding RNA (363 nucleotides) under Brassica napus (rape). RNAcentral describes it as "long non-coding RNA (BNAP_LNC001067)". The record is from RNAcentral. Lineage: Eukaryota; Viridiplantae; Streptophyta; Magnoliopsida; Brassicales; Brassicaceae.
AGCAGAGAACAAAGCAAUGGCAAAUCAGCUUCAUAUCAUAAUUAUUGGAACCUAGAUAUUAUAAUAUUGAAUAAUGAAUACUAGUAUAACCUCAUUGCUACCUCUACUUUAAUAAUAGGGAGGUAUGUCAAAAUAUCACAGAGUAAAAUAAGCAUCUUAUUCUUAAUAAUAGGAUUCUCGAGUUUGCAUCACAUUAAAUAAUCGCCAAAGUCUACCAUUGGCGUUAAAGCCAUCAAUACAUAAGAUUCUUUUGCUUAACUUCAUCACAUGCAUAUAGCUUAUAUUGCAUGAUAUUUCAGACAUCAUUUUCCGUUAAUAUAGGAUUUUAACACGUUUUAUACUCUCCCAUAUCACCAAAAUUAA